CGGUCUAGCUAUUCCCUCCAGGUGAACAGGCGCAGGGACGUGCGCUCCCAGCAAGAAGGGACUUGUGCGGCGCGCAGGGCGCACAGGCACGAACACAUUGCUAGCAAACGCUGAGGGAGAAGGAAGGCAUGUAUUUCCUUAGCUCACAGGUAGGCUCUGCUAGUCUGCCAGCUGGCUGAGCCCUGGGGGCUGGUGCGAGGGAAAGCUCCCCGAGUGGGAAGCCAGCAGAGUCCCUGUGAAGGCCGUGGCCUCAGGCCACCCCCCAUGACCACACUCUGGGCAGCCUGCGCAUUUUUCAAACAUUUCCCGGCUUUUAGAGGUUGUCCUCGCUGACCGAAAGAAUUCCAUGACAUCUCUCAAGUUCAUUUUCAUCAGCACCGCAGGCUUUCUCAAAACCCUGUUUACUGCCACCGAGACGCUCUGUGGUUAUUAAAGGGGGGAGAGGACGGAGCACAUGACAUGGCCACCCUCCUAAGAUGUCUCAUUAGAAACAAUAUUUGGAUGAAGUGGUUGUAACCGAUGCCACCUAAGAGGUCGGAAAAGAGAAGAAGGAAUGUGAAAACCCUUGUUUUGAUUUUUAAUCUAAUCAGCAGGCGCUUGUUAUUUCUCGGCGGAGUAUGGGAAGCGCGCUAUCAGCCCCGGCCGCAUCUGGUGUACAUUUGCAGGUUUCGUUUCUUCAGUCCAACGGCUGCUGGUGCGAGGGAACAAAAGCGACGAGUCCGGGUCACGGCCCCUCCCCAGAAACAGAAGCACUCAGCUCGCCCUGUCGCUGUUCGGCUAAGUGACUCACGCCACGCUCCACACAUUAGCCCGUGUCAGCUAUUUUAGAGCAGGUGGCUUCUGUCAGCCCCGUUACCACCACAGUCCGUGGGCGCAAGAGGCACAGUUCUUACCUUACAUCUUCCGUGAACCUUUCUCUUCUAGAAGAAACUUUCUAGACUCGCAGAGACCUUGGAAUCACCCAUCUCUCGAACGCUUCCAGCGCUGCCUGUCUUUAUGGUGACUGAAUGCAAGGCUUGAGGUUUUUGUGUGUGUUCUUUUUUUUUUUUCACAGAAGGAAGCUUUUAGUCAAAAUAUGCGGUUUAAAGGAGCAGUAUCCACCCUUGUUAAAACUAUUUCACGGACAUUCAGAGGUUUUGUUGCUACUCUAUGAAAGUUAAAUCUGAGUAGGAAGGCAUUUUUCCUGUUCCGGAAAUCGGCAUAAGUAAAACCAAUGCUGAGCUAACGAGAAAUGUUUCUUCCAUGUGUUCGUCUGGCAGAAGCUGCGAGCCAUAUCAAGGAAACACGUGAUGUUUAUAAAUACAAUAUGGCUCGUGUUGUCAUAACCUCUCAAUGACAAAAAGGAAAAAUAAGUGCAAGGAAAAGCAAGCAGCCACACAGCAGGAAAGAUGAGAUUUGUAUCACUUGGAAGCUGCACAUCAG
Myotis lucifugus (little brown bat) is the source of this 1422-nucleotide long non-coding RNA. RefSeq lists it as uncharacterized. The record is from RefSeq and is a predicted model, not a curated record. NCBI's taxonomy places the organism in Eukaryota, Metazoa, Chordata, Mammalia, Chiroptera, Vespertilionidae. The transcript has 3 exons.